Molecule: ribosomal RNA, 253 nt
Filed under: uncultured bacterium
Lineage: Bacteria
Description: partial 16S ribosomal RNA
Rfam family: Bacterial small subunit ribosomal RNA
Source: RNAcentral
UACGUAGGCAGCGAGCGUUGUUCGGAGUUACUGGGCGUAAAGAGUGCGUAGGCGGUGCUCUAAGUUUGGUGUGAAAUCUCCCGGCUCAACUGGGAGGGUGCGCCGAAAACUGGAGUGCUCGAGUAUGGGAGAGGUAAGCGGAAUUCCUGGUGUAGCGGUGAAAUGCGCAGAUAUCAGGAGGAACACCAAUAGCGAAGGCAGCACACUGGUACGUGACUGACGCUGAGACGCGAAAGCGUGGGGAGCAAACAGG